This 64-nucleotide transfer RNA is filed under the name Cucujoidea sp. 1 KM-2017. Its description in RNAcentral is "tRNA-His". Lineage: Eukaryota; Metazoa; Arthropoda; Insecta; Coleoptera. The record is from RNAcentral.
AUUUAAGUAGUUUAAAAAUAAAAUUUUAAUUUGUGAUAUUAAAGAUAUUGAUUAAUCUUAAAUU